Molecule: long non-coding RNA, 702 nt
Organism: Zingiber officinale
Lineage: Eukaryota; Viridiplantae; Streptophyta; Magnoliopsida; Zingiberales; Zingiberaceae
Exons: 5
Source: RefSeq, a predicted model, not a curated record
UUCAUAAUUCUUUAUUAAAAUAAAUUCGGUCCUAAUUUUUCUUAUUACUAUUUUGAUAGGUGAAAGACCGAAGAAUAUCUAAUGUACAAGAUGAUAGAAUAUUGAAUCUUGCAUCUGGACCCCUACGUCAAAUAAUGGUUUAUUCAGAUAUAAGGUAUCAUGGCAGAUCUUCCAGCACCACUCCGUGAAUCCACCGUCCUUAGGGUUGUUGGAGAGUCUUUACUCCCGACGGCUAUCGAGUAUCCACAUAUAUCACGCAAAAAUUUAAGGAAAGAGUCUGCAUAUCUGGGACUACAUGGAGACAUGUAGAUGCUGCAACUAAGGAUUUCUAUUAUCAAGAAUUUGUGAAAAAAUAUACAUGGGAGGAGGGGCACGAGGUAGAAUUUGCAAAAACUUGGAAUAUUUAUUGUGCCAAGUUGUACAAAGACCUAUUAUACUAUGUGAGAAAGGAUGGUACACGGCCUGCUUAUGUAUCCGACGAGAUUUGGAGUGCAUGGGCGGCCACUUGGUCUGCAGAAAGAUGGCAGACAAAGGCUCUAAAAGCUCGAGCGAAUAGGAAUACAGAGUCAGGUGGCCCGAGUACCGGAUCUGCUUGGCAUACAUUAGGGUCUCGAUCUAUUGUUGAGCACGCUAUGGAUCUGGAGCGUUUUUUAGAAAGACAAUCCACUUGCUUGGAGAUCUUUCUCAAGACUCAUCAGAGAA